CAGCAGCCACGGUAAUACGAAGGGGGCUAGCGUUGUUCGGAAUUACUGGGCGUAAAGCGCACGUAGGCGGCUUGGUAAGUUAGAGGUGAAAGCCCGGGGCUCAACCCCGGAACUGCCUUUGAAACUAGGUGACUAGAAUCUUGGAGAGGUCAGUGGAAUUCCGAGUGUAGAGGUGAAAUUCGUAGAUAUUCGGAAGAACACCAGUGGCGAAGGCGACUGACUAGACAAGUAUUGACGCUGAGGUGCGAAAGCGUGGGGAGCAAACAGGAUUAGAUACCCGCGUAGUCCCUGUCUCUUAUAC
Molecule: ribosomal RNA, 301 nt
Filed under: uncultured bacterium
Lineage: Bacteria
Description: partial 16S ribosomal RNA
Rfam family: Bacterial small subunit ribosomal RNA
Source: RNAcentral